CGUUCUAUGGCCGAAUUGGUAAAGGCAUCGCCGAUCACAAGCUAGGAUGCGGGUUCGAGUUCCGCUGGAACGG
This is a transfer RNA of Operophtera brumata (winter moth), 73 nucleotides long. It matches the Rfam family "tRNA". From Rfam's summary of the family: Transfer RNA (tRNA) molecules are approximately 80 nucleotides in length. Their secondary structure includes four short double-helical elements and three loops (D, anti-codon, and T loops). Further hydrogen bonds mediate the characteristic L-shaped molecular structure. tRNAs have two regions of fundamental functional importance: the anti-codon, which is responsible for specific mRNA codon recognition, and the 3' end, to which the tRNAs corresponding amino acid is attached (by aminoacyl-tRNA synthetases). tRNAs cope with the degeneracy of the genetic code in two manners: having more than one tRNA (with a specific anti-codon) for a particular amino acid; and 'wobble' base-pairing, i.e. permitting non-standard base-pairing at the 3rd anti-codon position. Lineage: Eukaryota; Metazoa; Arthropoda; Insecta; Lepidoptera; Geometridae. The record is from Rfam.